Non-coding RNA from Dermacentor albipictus, 618 nucleotides. NCBI's taxonomy places the organism in Eukaryota, Metazoa, Arthropoda, Arachnida, Ixodida, Ixodidae. The record is from RefSeq and is a predicted model, not a curated record.
ACAUCAAGACAACAACCUGAGCACGCAGGCUUCGUGUUCCAUUCCGGACGCUGUACCGUUCUUGUGCGUGAUAGCUGUGUUAGCGUCAAUUUUCGUGUUUGUUCGUGAGCGUUAGCGAUCAAAACCGUGACUUUCGAGUGCGAGUGCUUUUUCUAACAGGUGUUAGACGACGCAGGCAUUGCUACAGAUGCGGCCGGCCACAUCAUAAGGCGCUGCCGCGGCGAAGUCUCAUGCUUUUGCGGUCCGCUGCUGUUGCUGCUGCUGACAGCGUCGUUUGACGGUGCUGCGUAUCAUCAUCGGCUUGAUGACCGACAAUCAGGAUUUGAGCUUUGCCGUCAGCGCUGUGAACGCUGUGGGAGCCGUGAGACCACCCGAAGCUCUGAUGGCGGUGUCGGGUACGAACGGCGGACUGGAUGCGCCGAACGUGUGCCGAGACUUCCUACGCAAGGUGUGUCACAGAGGCAGUCGCUGCAAGUUUGUGCAUCCUGAGGGACUAGACAACGAUGAUGCCCGCGGCACCAUGGAGCCUGUCUUCUGCCAUGAUUACCAGAACUCCGAGUGUCUGCGACCAAACUGCAAAUUCCUGCACUGCACUCGUCAGGUGAGUUAAACCAUUCA